RNAcentral lists this ribosomal RNA (492 nucleotides) under uncultured bacterium. RNAcentral's name for it is "partial 16S ribosomal RNA". It matches the Rfam family "Bacterial small subunit ribosomal RNA", at positions 29 to 507 of the family's 1533-position model. The record is from RNAcentral.
AGUGAACGCUGGCGGUAGGCCUAACACAUGCAAGUCGAACGGCAGCACAGUAAGAGCUUGCUCUUACGGGUGGCGAGUGGCGGACGGGUGAGGAAUACAUCGGAAUCUACUUUUUCGUGGGGGAUAACGUAGGGAAACUUACGCUAAUACCGCAUACGACCUACGGGUGAAAGCAGGGGAUCUUCGGACCUUGCGCGAUUGAAUGAGCCGAUGUCGGAUUAGCUAGUUGGCGGGGUAAAGGCCCACCAAGGCGACGAUCCGUAGCUGGUCUGAGAGGAUGAUCGGCCACACUGGAACUUAGACACGGACCAGACUCCUACGGGAGGCAGCAGUGGGGAAUAUUGGACAAUGGGCGCAAGCCUGAUCCAGCCAUACCGCGUGGGUGAAGAAGGCCUUCGGGUUGUAAAGCCCUUUUGUUGGGAAAGAAAAGCAGCAGGUUAAUACCCCGCUGUUCUGACGGUACCCAAAGAAUAAGCACCGGCUAACUUCGUG